UUUUUUGAUCGGCCGCUCCAAUAUUUCCCUCCCAAAAGCACCUUACACCUCUACAACUAUACAAACCUAUCCAUCCUCCAUGUUUACACUCAACACACAUGAAUCCACAGUCAAAGACCCCCUCCCCCUCUCCUGAUUCUUUUCGGCAGACACGCCGAAACCGGCGACAACGCUGACGGGUUGUUCCGAUGAAACCCCGACCACAAAUCUCCAAUUCCUUCUCCCGGCUACUCCCUUCCUCCUCUUUUCUCGUCUGAUUGGCAGCCACGGCGACAGAGGGUCGCGGAGUCAAUAAUGAAGGUGAUGAAGAUGGUGGUGGAGCAACGCCGACGACGUCUUCAGGUCGACCUGCGUUGCGGCGUCUGCGGCGGUGGACGACGGUGGUGGUUCACGGCUCGGGUUAUUUCAGUUUAGUCCGCACCGGUCAAACUGGUUCAAAUUGUGUUCGGGUUAGUUCACUCGGGUGAACUCAGGUGACUUGGUUCAGCUUGGUUCGGGUCUCGACUCGAGUUUCGGUCGACAUCAGUUCGGGUUCGGAAGUGGAGGUAGUCGUGGGUUACCCGUGUUUCGGUUCAAGACUUCAAGUUUAGUUUCAAUUCACUUGUUUCAGUCCAUGUUUGGGUCUCGGUUCAGCCUUCACCGAGUCAACUUGGUGUCUUGAGUUCCAGUUCAGUCAGAUUUCGGAUCGGGAUUCACGUCGGAGUUUAACGCGACUCGUUUCGGAUAAUCGCGUACGUUCGUUCUCUUGGAAUUCUUCAUGCUUACUCGUGUGUUAUUUCAAGGAACCCUUAUACGCAACCAAUGUUGAUUGUUGAGGUGAUAUUCAAGAUGAAACAAGAUUUAGGGUGGACUAGAUACACACCUAGAUUAAUCUAUCUUUUAUUGUUAUGAUUUAUGUUGAAACAAUGUUGUUAUUUUUGUUUGAAUCUUGUAUGACAAUUAGUCCUGAAAUGAAAUUCGAAUUUAACUAAAUAUUGUCACAUAGUGUUAUGAAGUCUCUAGCAAUCUAUACACACUUCGUCUCAUCCCGAUGUUUCCGCCAUCGGUUGGGGUGUGACACAUAGCAUCUUCUUGUCUCAAAUUUCUGACUCUGGCAGUUAACAGCAAUGUGUCCUUCAAAACUACAUUUGUAACACACCUUGUUAUCAUACCAAUCUCCACUUUCAAACCACACACUCAAAUCAUAACACUGAUUUGAUUUGUAGUACUGAUCAUUUCUCAGUUUUCUAUCAUUGUAAUGAUUUGUCUUUGAAGAAUCUUCAUUCCAUCUUCUCCUGUAAGCUUGAUUUGGCUUUUGAGCACCGUGGUCAAACCUGCACCACUUAUUACUAACUUUUUGUGAGUUUUGAUUUUCAACUUUUUGUGGUUUUUUAUAAUGAUUGGAUGAUUGAACUGAUGAUCGUUUAUUAUUGUUUUGAAAAUUUUUCGAAUUUUUAACAUUUUGUUUUUGUUCUACAUUCUUCUUAAAAGGCUUUUGCUUUGAGCAUUCACCUCUUUCAGUAGAUUGUAAAACAGUUUCUUGAAAUUUUUCUUUUAAUUUCAAAAAUAUUUUCUUUUUAUCAUCUUCAUCAUCAGAUUUAUCAUCACAAUCUUCAAUUAUGACUUUGUCAUAAUUUGUGACAUUGUUACUUAUUGGAAUUUCAUUGAUUGGUUUUGGACAGAUAUGAUCCAGGAUUACCGACGAAGUCACAAAACCUUUCAAUUUCUUUUCUAACUCAUCAAUUUUAUUUUUAGCACUCUCAACUUCAUUUUCAAGUUGAGUGAUUUUCUCAAGAUGAGAAUUUAUUGCUUUUUCAUUUUCAAUUUUAUUUUUAUCUAAAACAGAUUUUUCAUUUUCUAAAACUUUUAUUUGACUUUGAAAUUCUGUUUCUUUUUCUUUUAAAACUUUGUUUUAUAAUUUUAUCCAAAACACAUCUUCAUUUUCGAAAAUUUUUAUUUUAUUUUGAAGUUCUUUUUCAUUUUCUUUUAAAUUUUUGUUUUCCAAUGUCAUACUCUCCACAUCUUUCAGAAGUUUGACAUGGCCUGCUCUAGUUUUAUCACAUUUUGAGCACACAAGUUCAGAUCUUGAAGUUUCAUUUUUUUUUCGGAUUCUUUAUUCUUUGAAAUUACCUCUGUCUCUGUCUUGUAUGUAC
This 2132-nucleotide long non-coding RNA is filed under the name Helianthus annuus (common sunflower). RNAcentral describes it as "hypothetical non coding rna". The record is from RNAcentral. Lineage: Eukaryota; Viridiplantae; Streptophyta; Magnoliopsida; Asterales; Asteraceae.